GCUUUUUAAACAUACAAAACAAGGAAACAUAAAGUACAUAACAGGAGCCUAAAAUCCCUAGAAACCCCAAAAGUAAGAAAGAAGAGAAGAACACGCAUCAAAAUCAAAUGGCCUCCAAUUCAAACCGUCAUCUGCGCUCAACAGCCGACUAGCAUUGAUACCCUUUUCAAAACCUGUGCUAACUCCUAUCGCCGUCAUAAUCCAUAGGCCCUCUAUACUGGCUCCACUCGUCGAUCGCCUAAACUUGCCUUAAAGCAACACGACGUUGAACGAGAGGGAGAAAAUUUGACACCCACCACGGUGGAGCUGACUUCAUCCUUCCCGGCCACCCAUCGAUCCAGAGCAUGUUAAGAGACGAGGAAAAAGGAGAUCACUAGCUCUUUCCAGAGUAGAAAUGCCUUUUAUCGCAUGGCAAGUUCCUGGGAAGAGUAGAUUUUGCCUUCUUAAAAAACAUCCAUCCGCACAAAACCACCCCCAAGUCCAUUUCUUGGAGGAGCGUGCUGCACUGUGUUUCAAGCCACAAAAAACAUAAAGCAUAAAAUUAUGUUUUUUCCCGACUUGCGACGCAGCAAACCGUGU
Molecule: long non-coding RNA, 579 nt
Filed under: Populus tremula
Lineage: Eukaryota; Viridiplantae; Streptophyta; Magnoliopsida; Malpighiales; Salicaceae
Description: long non-coding RNA (PTRE_LNC002599)
Source: RNAcentral